UGCUAUCUUUUCUACUAUCUUUUCUACAUUCUAGUUGUUAUUAGAAUAGAGAUUUUAGAAUUUUUAUUUGAGCCUCUUAGGUCACCAUAGAAAUCAGCUGAAAUGAGUUCUACUGACUUCAGCUCUGUCUUCAUUUAUGGUGUUUAGGCUUCCAGAGUGAAAAUUACCAGAGAAAGAUACAUACAACAUCUGAAUAUAUCACAGAAUCAUAAACAUAUGUAACCUAAUUUCUACAGAUGAAGUAAAACGUGGAAUACCCCCACAGAAAAGACUUUCUCAGCAUUUGUAAUUUCUACAGAUGAAGUAAAAUGUGUAAUACCCCCACAGAGAAGAUUUUCUCAGCACUGUGAAGGACAAGGAAUGAACCACACAGUUUAAUAAAUGUAAACUAGAAACUGCAGUUGGACAUGGAAGCAUCUAUCUUCAAAGACCCGGAUUAUAGAUCUAUAGCCAACACACAUUAUCUAUAGUGCAAGGGAUGGAUCCCAGGAAUUUCUGAAUGAUAGGUGUUGAAGGGAUGGCUCAGUGCUUGGAGUACUUCUGUGCAAGCAGGAUUAGCAGAAUUCAAAUCUCCAGGAUCUGCAUCAAAAGCUGGGCAUGGCUUCACACCUAUAACUGCAAUGUGGGGUAGAGAACUUGGAGCCUUGCACCGAGUCCAGUGAGAGACCCAAUCAAAAUCAAGG
This is a long non-coding RNA of Peromyscus eremicus (cactus mouse), 683 nucleotides long. RefSeq lists it as uncharacterized. NCBI's taxonomy places the organism in Eukaryota, Metazoa, Chordata, Mammalia, Rodentia, Cricetidae. The transcript has 4 exons. The record is from RefSeq and is a predicted model, not a curated record.